RNAcentral lists this ribosomal RNA (293 nucleotides) under uncultured bacterium. RNAcentral describes it as "partial 16S ribosomal RNA". It matches the Rfam family "Archaeal small subunit ribosomal RNA", at positions 455 to 747 of the family's 1478-position model. The record is from RNAcentral.
GUGCCAGCCGCCGCGGUAAUACCGGCAGCACAAGUGAUGGCCGAUAUUAUUGGGCCUAAAGCGUUCGUAGCUGGCCGGACAAGUCCGUUGGGAAAUCCACGCGCUCAACGUGUGGGCGUCCAGCGGAAACUGUCCGGCUUGGGGCCGGAAGACCCGAGGGGUACGUCCAGGGUAGGAGUGAAAUCCUGUAAUCCUGGACGGACCGCCGGUGGCGAAAGCGCCUCGGGAGGACGGACCCGACAGUGAGGGACGAAAGCCAGGGUCUCGAACCGGAUUAGAUACCCGAGUAGUCC